This is a small nucleolar RNA of Phyllostomus discolor (pale spear-nosed bat), 130 nucleotides long. RefSeq annotates it as small nucleolar RNA U109. NCBI's taxonomy places the organism in Eukaryota, Metazoa, Chordata, Mammalia, Chiroptera, Phyllostomidae. The record is from RefSeq and is a predicted model, not a curated record. The transcript has a single exon.
CUACAUGUGGAAAUGUCUCCUCCUCAUUCAUUUAGGAGCAGGAAUAUGUCCAUAACAUGUUUCAUAACAGAGUUCUUAGGUCAGCAAUCUUAUAGUAGGAGUUGAGUAGUAGCAUUUGUCUCCUGCAUAA